Molecule: ribosomal RNA, 465 nt
Filed under: Vreelandella stevensii
Lineage: Bacteria; Pseudomonadati; Pseudomonadota; Gammaproteobacteria; Oceanospirillales; Halomonadaceae
Description: partial 16S ribosomal RNA
Rfam family: Bacterial small subunit ribosomal RNA
Source: RNAcentral
CCUACGGGAGGCUGCAGUGGGGAAUAUUGGACAAUGGGGGGAACCCUGAUCCAGCCAUGCCGCGUGUGUGAAGAAGGCCCUCGGGUUGUAAAGCACUUUCAGUGAGGAAGAACGCCUGGUGGUUAAUACCCAUCAGGAAAGACAUCACUCACAGAAGAAGCACCGGCUAACUCCGUGCCAACAGCCGCGGUAAUACGGAGGGUGCGAGCGUUAAUCGGAAUUACUGGGCGUAAAGCGCGCGUAGGUGGCUUGAUAAGCCGGUUGUGAAAGCCCCGGGCUCAACCUGGGAACGGCAUCCGGAACUGUCAAGCUAGAGUGCAGGAGAGGAAGGUAGAAUUCCCGGUGUAGCGGUGAAAUGCGUAGAGAUCGGGAGGAAUACCAGUGGCGAAGGCGGCCUUCUGGACUGACACUGACACUGAGGUGCGAAAGCGUGGGUAGCAAACAGGAUUAGAUACCCCAGUAGUC